ACACACAUGCCGCCGUUGAAGCAAGGGUUUCUGGGAUAUGUGUUGCAGGGCUGAUGGGAUAGCUCUCUCCCUGAGCAGGAGCACACAGCGGUAGAUUCCACCGUCACAGAUACAAGACUCAUGGUCCCACAAUCCACCACUGUGGGCGUGUCCCGCACGUUCAGGACGUUGCUGCAGCCGCCGGCCCCGGCACACUCUGAGCUUGGACACUCAUCCACCCGGAUUUGGAACACGUUGACCUGCAGGAAUGACUGGAGCUGGAGGGAGAAAGACAGAGAGAAAUUAAGAGAUCCAGCGUGGAUUCUUGCCAUGAAUUGCAAGGAAGUGAAAUGGCAAAGAAUGGAGGAACUGGCACAAGCUACAUGUGCUGUGUUGACUGGAGACCACUGGGCAACAAUAAGAACCAUCACUAUCUUGUUGUAGCUGCAAAACCGAUCCAUGACAAAUAUUUGGUACUCGUUUGCUUUAGGUGUGAUGAAAAUGGAAAAAGCAAUUUUGCUGAAGCAUGCGCCAGUUUCUUGAAGUUGUACAGGAGUGGGAGGCAGUCAACAUGGUCAUCACUGUAGGAACAGACAGCAGCUCCCUGUGACACUGGCUUUGUCGAUGCUUUAGCUAAGUGGUGGAAAAUGUACCAACUUCAUGCCAAUAUUUCAGAAAUCAUGAUAUAAUGAAAUACAAAUCCCUCUGAUUCCUCUUA
Long non-coding RNA from Eleginops maclovinus (Patagonian blennie), 697 nucleotides. RefSeq lists it as uncharacterized. The record is from RefSeq and is a predicted model, not a curated record. NCBI's taxonomy places the organism in Eukaryota, Metazoa, Chordata, Actinopteri, Perciformes, Eleginopidae. The transcript has 2 exons.